CAGUCUUCCGGGAAAUCUGACGGCUUAACCGUUAGGCUUUCGGGGGAUACUACCAGGCUUGGGACCGGGAGAGGUAAGAGGUACUACGGGGGUAGGAGUGAAAUCUUGUAAUCCUCGUGGGACCACCAGUGGCGAAGGCGUCUUACCAGAACGGGUCCGACGGUGAGGGACGAAAGCUGGGGGCACGAACCGGAUUAGAUACCCGGGUAGUCCCAGCCGUAAACUAUGCUCGCUAGGUGUCAGGGACGGUGCGACCGUUUCUGGUGCCGCAGGGAAGCCGUGAAGCGAGCCACCUGGGAAGUACGGUCGCAAGGCUGAAACUUAA
Molecule: ribosomal RNA, 325 nt
Filed under: uncultured archaeon
Lineage: Archaea
Description: bacterial SSU rRNA
Rfam family: Archaeal small subunit ribosomal RNA
Source: RNAcentral